This 146-nucleotide small nuclear RNA is filed under the name Canis lupus familiaris (dog). RNAcentral's name for it is "U4 spliceosomal RNA (multiple genes)". It matches the Rfam family "U4 spliceosomal RNA". Rfam says of the family: U4 small nuclear RNA (U4 snRNA) is a component of the major U2-dependent spliceosome. The structure of U4 snRNA from yeast and human has been reported. Lineage: Eukaryota; Metazoa; Chordata; Mammalia; Carnivora; Canidae. The record is from RNAcentral.
AGCUUCGCACAGUGGAAGUAUUGUAGCCAAUGAGGUUUAUCUGAAGCGCACAAUUAUUGCUAAUUGAAAACUAUAAUAAUUAAAACUAUGGUAUUGGCAUAAAGAUAUAAAUAGAUCAUUGGAACAGAGAAUCCAGAAAAAAAUCU